AUGCCUCAUUAAACCGGACAUGCAUCAUAUUUGUUUUUGCAUCAUGCCAUGUGUAUGUGGUGGUUGUUUACUAUGUUGUUUGUUUCUUUCCGGUUUGCUUCUCUCGUUACCUUCGGUUUCGUUCCGGAGUUGUGAGGAUUCCUUCGUCUACGUCCGUUUGUCUUCUUCAUGGACUCGUUCUUCUUCGUUGCGGGAUCUCAGGCAAGAUGACCGCCCCUCGAAAUCACUUCUAUCUUUGCUAUGCUAGUUGAUCGCUCUAUUGCCAUGCUCGCUACCUAUCACUUGCUAUAUCAUGUCUCCCAUUUUAGCCAUGUCAGCCCUAACCAUCCCUUCCUAGCAAACCGUUGUUUGGCUAUGUUACCGCUUUUGCUCAUCCCCUCUUAUAGCGUUGUUAGUUGCAGGUGAAGUUGAAGAUUGCUCCAUGUUGGAUUAUGUUUAUGUUGGGAUAUCACAAUAUCUCUUAUAUUAUUAAUGCACCUAUAUACUUGGUAAAGGGUGGAAGGCUCGGCCUUAUGCCUGGUGUUUUGUUCCACUCUUGCCGCCCUAGUUUCCGUCAUACCGGUGUUAUGUUCCUUGAUUUUGCGUUCCUUACGCGGUCGGGUGAUUUAUGGGACCCCCUUGACAGUUCGCUUUGAAUAAAACUCCUCCAGCAAGGCCCAACCUUGGUUUUACCAUUUGCUACCACCUAUCCCCUUUUCCCUUGGGUUCUGCAGACUCAAGGGUCAUCUUUAUUUUAACCCCCCCGGGCCAGUGCUCCUUCGAGUGUUGGUCCGAAGCGAGUAGGCUGCGGGGCCACCUCGGGGAAACUUGAGGUCUGGUUUUACUCGUAGGAUGUCUCAUCCGGUGUUGCCCUGAGAACGAGAUAUGUGCAGCUCCUAUCGGGAUUUGUCGGCACAUCGGGCGGCUUUGCUGGUCUUGUUUUACCAUUGUCGGAAUGUCUUGUAAACCGGGAUUCCGAGACUGAUCGGGUCGUUCCGGGAGAAGGAAUAUCCUUCGUUGACCGUGAGAGCUUAUAAUGGGCUAAGUUGGGACACCCCUGCAGGGUAUAAACUUUCGAGAGCCGUGCCCGCGGUUAUGUGGCAGAUGGGAAUUGGUUAAUAUCCGGUUGUAGAGAACUUGACACUUGACCUUAAUUAAAACGCAUCAACCGCGUGUGUAGCCGUGAUGGUCUCUUCUCGGCGGAGUCCGGGAAGUGAACACGGUUUCUGGGUUAUGUUUUGACGUAAGUAGGUGUUCAGGAUCACUUCUUGAUCAUUGCUAGUUCACGACCGUUCCGUUGCUUCUCUUCUCGCUCUUAUAUGCGUAUGUUAGCCACCAUAUAAGCUUAGUGCUUGCUGCAGCUCCACCUCACUACACCAUCCUUUCCUAUAAGCUUAAAUAGUCUUGAUCUCGCGGGUGUGAGAUUGCUGAGUCCUCGUGACUCACAGAUACUUCCAAACAGUUGCAGGUUCCGAUGAUACCAGUCCAGGUGACGCAACUGAGCUCAAGUGGGAGCUCGAUGAAGAUCUUGUCCGUUGUGUUGUUUCUUUUCUUAUUGAUCAGUAGUGGAGCCCAGUUGGGACGAUCAGGGAUCUAGCAGUUGGGUUGUCUUCUUUUCUUUUGGUUCCGUAGUCGGACCUAUGUGUGUAUCUUGAAUGAUGUAUGAAUUUAUUUAUGUAUUGUGUGAAGUGGCGAUUGUAAGCCAACUCUUUAUCCC
RNAcentral lists this long non-coding RNA (1696 nucleotides) under Triticum aestivum (bread wheat). Its description in RNAcentral is "long non-coding RNA (TAES_LNC004788)". The record is from RNAcentral. Lineage: Eukaryota; Viridiplantae; Streptophyta; Magnoliopsida; Poales; Poaceae.